This 721-nucleotide ribosomal RNA is filed under the name Lophopus crystallinus. Its description in RNAcentral is "partial 16S ribosomal RNA". The record is from RNAcentral. Lineage: Eukaryota; Metazoa; Bryozoa; Phylactolaemata; Lophopodidae.
AUACCUCUAUCUUGCCCUAAGCUUACACUAUGAGUUACAUUAUCAACCAUGAGUUUUAGAGAAGUAUUGGAGAUAGAAUCUUUAGAAAGGAGCAAUAGAAAACCAGUAUCGUGAGAGAAGGAUUCAAAUAAAAAAGAGAAGAGUUAAACCCUUGUCCCUUGUGUAUCAUGGCUUAGCCAUUAAUCUGACUUAUAUUAAGUAUUCCGAAACCUAGUGAGCUACUAAUCCCCUGUUAAGCACCCAAUAGUCCUUGUGGCAAUAAGGUUAAGAGAGGUUCUAGUAGAGAUGAGAUGUCAUACGCACUAAGUAAUAGCUGAUUUCUAGAGAAAUGUAUAAAAGUACAGGAAAGUAUCACCUUAUCCUCCCAUUAAAGGGAUAAUCUUUUAAUGGAAUAAGCUUUAUGAACAAUUAACCUUCUAUCAUAGCCUAGGCUUAAAAUCAGCCCUGAGCAUCAAUCAAGUUACAUUGUAAUGAAGAAGAGAGGUAUAAUUAUAUACUCAUAAUCUUAAUUUAUUUAGAAAUUCUGACUAACUUAUUUCAGAAGAUAUUCUGCUAAGAUAAGUAUAAUGUAUAACUAACUUCUAACUUAUAGUGGAAUACUCCAUUUAUAAAGUAUGAAUAAGGAACUCGGCAAAUAAAAGCUUCGUCUGUUUAUCAAAAACAUAGCUCUUUGGUAUUAUGAAAGGUAUAGCCUGCCCAGUGGGAUCUCAACGGCUGCAGU